Molecule: long non-coding RNA, 1376 nt
Organism: Epinephelus fuscoguttatus (brown-marbled grouper)
Lineage: Eukaryota; Metazoa; Chordata; Actinopteri; Perciformes; Serranidae
Exons: 3
Source: RefSeq, a predicted model, not a curated record
UUAGAUUCAGAUUCAGACAACUUUAUUUAUCCCGCAAGGGGCAAUUCAUAUGUAGCUUUCCCAGUGUACAUUCAUGCAUACAUCAGAGAACAACAUCAUCAUUGUCAAUGAAACAUAUUAAGAGCAUGGGACAGAGAAGAAGCUACGGUAAAAGCAAAAAUACAAAAGCAAUAAAUUAAACAAUAAAUAAAACAACCUAAAAAUUUUCUCUAAAAGUCAUUUAAAACGGGUGCGGUCUGUGUUCAGCAGCUUAAUAGCAGAAGGAACAUGUGGUAAGGACAAGUGGUGAGCAUACAUGGUUAGGACAGGUGGUGACAGGUGGUGAGGACAGGUGGUAAGAACAGGUGGUAAGAACAGGUGGUGGGAACAGGUGGUGAGGACAGUUGGUAAGAACAGGUGGUAAGAACAGGUGGUGAGGACAGGUGGUAAGAACAGGUGGUAAGAACAGGUGGUGAGGACAGGUGGUGAGGACAGGUGGUAAGAACAGGUGGUAAGAACAGGUGGUGAGGACAGGUGGUGAGAACAGGUGGUGAGGACAGGUGGUGAGGACAGGUGGUGAGAACAGGUGGUGAGGACAGGUGGUGGGAACAUGUGGUGAGGACAGUUGGUAAGAACAGGUGGUGAGGACAGGUGGUGAGGACAGGUGGUGAGAACAGGUGGUGGGAACAUGUGGUGAGGACAGGUGGUGAGAACAGGUGGUGAGGACAGGUGGUGAGGACAGGUGGUGAGAACAGGUGGUGAGGACAGGUGGUGAGGACAGGUGGUGAGAACAGGUGGUGAGGACAGUUGGUAAGAACAGGUGGUAAGAACAGGUGGUGAGGACAGGUGGUGAGGACAGGUGGUAAGAACAGGUGGUGAGGACAGGUGGUGAGGACAGGUGGUGAGAACAGGUGGUGGGAACAGGUGGUGAGGACAGUUGGUAAGAACAGGUGGUGAGGACAGGUGGUGAGGACAGGUGGUAAGAACAGGUGGUGAGGACAGUUGGUAAGAACAGGUGGUAAGAACAGGUGGUGAGGACAGGUGGUGAGGACAGGUGGUGAGGACAGGUGGUGGGAACAGGUGGUGAGGACAGGUGGUAAGAACAGGUGGUGAGAACAGGUGGUGAGGACAGGUGGUGAGGACAGGUGGUGAGCACACAUGGUGAGGACAGGUGGUGAGGACAGAUGGUGAGGACAGUCGGGAAGGACAGGCAGUGAGGACACAUGAUGAGGACGUGGUGAGAAUUGACCAAUCAACAGUUAAUAUCUAAAAUAAUCAAUAAGGAUAAUAUGUUCUAGUUACUGUGUUCAUCACAUGAUUGUUACAUGUUCGUCACAUGAACGGCGGGAGUUUGUCGAGUAACGUGAGGUGAUGCCAUGCUGUGAUGGUUGAUGGUU